This 128-nucleotide non-coding RNA is filed under the name chicken gut metagenome. RNAcentral describes it as "THF riboswitch". It matches the Rfam family "THF (Tetrahydrofolate) riboswitch aptamer". From Rfam's summary of the family: THF riboswitch presents a pseudoknot that joins P1-P2 and the loop of P3 and two THF binding. The record is from RNAcentral.
GCAGAGUAGGAAGACAAGCGCAUGGGGUGUCGGACAAAUCCCGCAUCCCCAGUGCCCGCCGGACGGGGAGUUGCCGGCGGGACGAAAAACGGGAGACCGUUUGCGGUUUGGCUUCCGCAUCCCGCUGC